GAUGAAGAACGCAGCGAAAUGCGAUAAGUAAUGUGAAUUGCAGAAUUCAGUGAAUCAUCGAAUCUUUGAACGCACCUUGCACCCUUUGGCUAUUCCGAAGGGUAUGCCUGUUUGAGUAUCAUGAACACCUCAACUCUCAUGGUUUGCCAUGAUGAGCUUGGACUUUGGGGGUCUUGCUGGCCUGUGGUCAGCUCCUCUAAAAUGAAUCAGCUUACCAGUGUUUGGUGGGUAUCAUGGGUGUGAUAACUAUCUACGCUUGUGGUUUUUCCACCAGGUAACCUUCAGCAGUGGAGGUUCGCUGGAGCUCAUAGAUGUCUCUCCUCAGUGAGGACAGCCCUUUGAAUGUUUGAUCUCAAAUCAGGUAGGACUACCCGCUGAACUUAAGCAUAUCAAUAAGCGGAGGA
This 404-nucleotide unclassified non-coding RNA is filed under the name soil metagenome. RNAcentral describes it as "partial contains 5.8S ribosomal RNA, internal transcribed spacer 2, and large subunit ribosomal RNA". The stretch from base 1 to 121 matches the Rfam family "5.8S ribosomal RNA", at positions 35 to 154 of the family's 154-position model. The record is from RNAcentral.